This 432-nucleotide ribosomal RNA is filed under the name uncultured bacterium. RNAcentral's name for it is "bacterial SSU rRNA". It matches the Rfam family "Bacterial small subunit ribosomal RNA", at positions 29 to 507 of the family's 1533-position model. The record is from RNAcentral.
AACGAACGCUGGCGGCAGGCUUAACACAUGCAAGUCGAGCGCCCCGCAAGGGGAGCGGCAGACGGGUGAGUAACGCGUGGGAACCUACCCUUUACUACGGAAUAGCUCCGGGAAACUGGAAUUAAUACCGUAUGUGCCCUACGGGGGAAAGAUUUAUCGGUAAAGGAUGGGCCCGCGUAAGAUUAGCUAGUUGGUGGGGUAACGGCCUACCAAGGCGACGAUCCUUUAGCUGGUCUGAGAGGAUGAUCAGCCACACUGGGACUGAGACACGGCCCAGACUCCUACGGGAGGCAGCAGUGGGGAAUAUUGGACAAUGGGCGAAAGCCUGAUCCAGCCAUGCCGCGUGAGUGAUGAAGGCCUUAGGGUUGUAAAGCUCUUUCAGUGGGGAAGAUAAUGACGGUACCCACAGAAGAAGCCCCGGCUAACUUCGUG